UGUGCAAGCCAAUUACAAUUUUUUUCAAUAUGUAGGUGUUUCCCAUUUGCUGUAUAACCAAAUACAACUUUUUCUGUGUUUUUUGUUUUAUUUCUUUAGACUGGUUCCAUCCGAGAAGUUACGAGAAACCUUAUGGAUUUACUGAAUGCUCAUCUACAAGCAGAGGGCCCGCAACAAACACCAACUGUGCCACAGCGCACAACACCAGCGACAACACCUUAACAGACUAUCCCUCGGUCUACAGUUCAUCAAGAAAUGUCAAGGAUUUCCAAGAGCCAGACAUCGACUGGGAUGUUGCAGCAGAGUACAGCCCAGAUGUGGACGGUGCUGUUGUGGUCCCGGAGUUCGACAGUCCCCUCACUGAAGAGCAGCAUGCUGAACUGCAGUUGCUACUGGCACAAAAUUGGGAGCGUUCAGACACUAAGGAACUUUAUCUAUUGUGCAGAGAAUAUGUUAAUGCUGCUUUGUCAGAUUAAUGUGUACUUGAAGUAAAAAAUCAAGAGAUCAGUUCCAGUGCUUUUUUUAAUGUUACAAAAGAAAUACGUAACAUGUAUUUGAAAUGGCAAUAAGCCUAACUUUAUUGAUUCAUGUAACAAUGUCGCUUUCUAGCCCCAAAACAUUACAUUAUUUAAGAAAACAAUUGGUCUUUUUGGAUUCAAAGUUAAAUUUGAACCAUUAUACAGUAACCUGAACCCAGAACAGUGGCCAUCUUGUUUUCAUUUAAUGUCUGCUAAAAUCAAAUCCAUCACAGACUGCCUGAGUAAGCCGACUUUAAAAGUCAGUGUAUGUAGUAAUGUGCCGUGUAGGUAAGGUGAUUAAGUGUGGUCCAUACCAGGUGGUACUGUCGUGAUCAACAUUUACAGUUAUCUUGUAAAAUUCUCUUUCUGUGUCUGUUAGUGGCGCAUGUGCCUGGCCUGAAACCCACUGAAAAAAAUCCUUGCACUGACAACUGCUUUGCUCCACAGCCAUCUGAUGGGCUCCCAUCUUGGUCAUCUGUUCCUGAAGGGUGAAAAAAAAAAUCAGUGUGUCACUAACAUGAUUGAGGUUCCCAGGAAGAAAGAGGGGCUGAAGUGCCUGGUGGUGUUGUGGUAACAGCUCAUCCAAACCCUAAAUGGCCAGUCCUUCUCUAAGCUGCCUUAGCAUCGGUAUGAGUCUCAUCACUGAAUGCAAACUGAUGGCCCUAUUAAAAAGAAUAAUGAACUUGUAAUAACUCAUUUUUAAAAAUUGCAUGACUUGUUUAAUGCUACAUUAACAUAGCCUACUCAAUGAUGGCCUUGUGAUCGCUGUUAAUUGGACCGGUGUAGCCACAUGCUACAAUGGCAUCAGAAAGGUCUGUCAGUGCGUCUUCUUCGGCACGUUCCACCUUCAAUCAGAAACACUUUAGUACAAUUUACAGAAAAUAAAUUAUUCUGUUUAAUUUACCUCCUGAAUCAGGUUCUGGGUUUCCGUAUCAGUCACCUCUGGCACAUCUUCAUUUGUUAUUUGUCCAUGACACAAGAAAUGGUAGGACCAAGUAGAAAAGAAAUUCGGUGCUGGUCCUCUUUGAACCAAGCUGGUGGCAAUGAUCUCCCCACAGAUCCUGAACACAAAACAAGCCAAGUUACACUGCAGAGCAGCAUCAUACUGUACAUACCUGUAUCUGUUUUCCUGGUAGUAAGAGAUACUAUAUUUGGGGUUUUUGCCUUUGCAUGAAACUCCUUCAAAUAAGUUCAACUCAAGGCCUCGCAUCAUUUCUAUUGGGAAAAAAGAAAUGACAGUUUGCCAUUUUCAACUAUAUUCAAAGUUGGUAUGUUGACAUUAGCAAGGAAUACAUACCGGUUAGGAACUCUCAGCGUAGUGCUCCUUCAUCAAUGCCUUGUUCUCCAAAAAGGAAACAAUUAGCUGGUUUUUGGGGGAAGCCUGCUUCU
This is a non-coding RNA of Nothobranchius furzeri (turquoise killifish), 1907 nucleotides long. The record is from RefSeq and is a predicted model, not a curated record. Lineage: Eukaryota; Metazoa; Chordata; Actinopteri; Cyprinodontiformes; Nothobranchiidae.